RNAcentral lists this ribosomal RNA (254 nucleotides) under uncultured bacterium. RNAcentral describes it as "partial 16S ribosomal RNA". It matches the Rfam family "Bacterial small subunit ribosomal RNA", at positions 524 to 776 of the family's 1533-position model. The record is from RNAcentral.
UACGGAGGGUGGCAAAUGUUGUUCGGAAUCACUGGGCGUAAAGGGAGCGUAGGCGGGUUCUUAAGUAAGGUGUUUAAUCCCGGGGCCCAACCCCGGACCGGCACUUUAAACUGGGAAUCUUGAAUAGUGGAGAGGUCAGUGGAAUUGGGGGUGUAGCGGUGGAAUGCGUAGAGAUCCCCAAGAACACCAGUUGCGAAGGCGGCUGACUGGACACAUAUUGACGCUGAGGCUCGAAAGCAUGGGGAGCAAACAGG